This 545-nucleotide long non-coding RNA is filed under the name Glycine max (soybean). RNAcentral describes it as "long non-coding RNA (GMAX_LNC002119)". The record is from RNAcentral. Lineage: Eukaryota; Viridiplantae; Streptophyta; Magnoliopsida; Fabales; Fabaceae.
GGGGAUCUGCCAGGGCAUGAAGAGAGGGUCUGGAAUCUGCGGAAUCUCGAAGGAUUCACCACCGCCGCCGACCUCAUCGGCGAUCUCGAGAAUGGAGUUCAGAAACCUUAACCGGUCGGCGAGUUCCAUGGUCUGUGCUCUGAGGAUGUCGUUCGCGGCUUCGAUCUCAACGUACGCUUCCUCCUUCGCCUUUAUGCUCUGCGCUAAGCGCACGUUCUCGCCUUGAAGGCGACUCGCUACGUCGGAUAGGUCUUCGAGCAGCUUCUGCUUCUUCAUCCGCGAUCGCCGUGCGGACUCGCGGUUCGACUCCAUCCGCUUCCUCUUUCUCUCGUCCAUCGCAGCCGGAUCUCCUCCUCCCUCCGAAGAUCCCGAACUCGCCGGACGCGGAAUCGAAGCCAUUGGAUUUGUUUGAAUUUGGGGUUUUUGUUAGGAUAGAGAAAUUAGGAUUUUGCAAAUCUGAUUAAUUAGAAAAAAAAUGGGGAAAUUGGAGGAAUUAGGGUAGGGGAUUGAGAGGGAGUUAGUUCAUGAGAAAACGUAGAACCAGU